ACAGAUCCAGAUUGCUGUGAUGCCAGCCUAAGGGAGUGAAAAACAGGUCCUUGGAUUUCUCCUCCACCCUCCGAUUGAACAAUGAUUCUGUGAGUAAAAGAUAUGUACGAUUAGCCUGGGGACUGACAGAUGUCUCGUAUGCAGGCACCAUGGGUGAACCAGAUCGAUCCAAUGACAGCAGGAGACUUCCCUGAAUCCUCCUGAACAGAGGCAAGGCGCGCUGACAAUGUGGAAGCCGAAGAGUCUGGGUGAAUCAAACUGCCAAGAGAGUUAUGUCAUGAUAAGCAUCAGCAUGUCAAGAUAACCACCACCAUAAGGCAGCAAUGAUACAGUUCCAGUUGCACAAAAAUCCAUAAUGCAAGUUGAGAGCAGCAAAAACUUAAGAAAGAUUCUUCAACUCCAGCCUCUUGAUGUUUAUAAGAAACUGGCUUCAUACUCUCCUUUUCAACUCUACCUUUAUCACACCACAAACCCCUUUUCCCAUUAACCUACCUCCAUUUGACUCAAUCUCUUUUCCCAACCCCAACCCCUCAACUCACUGCUACUCCCUACCCAUCCCCUUUCCACCCCAAAAAGGUUUGUUAACUUAGCUAUUUAACAGUAGUCAUCACUAUCAUAUAUGGAAAAUGUCAUCAAUCUUUGCUCUCAUUCUACCAUUAUCUUUAUUGCCCUAUGAUAAAGCCAUAUCUACACUACA
This is a long non-coding RNA of Alligator mississippiensis (American alligator), 697 nucleotides long. RefSeq lists it as uncharacterized. The transcript has 3 exons. The record is from RefSeq and is a predicted model, not a curated record. Lineage: Eukaryota; Metazoa; Chordata; Crocodylia; Alligatoridae.